Molecule: transfer RNA, 60 nt
Filed under: Bungarus multicinctus (many-banded krait)
Lineage: Eukaryota; Metazoa; Chordata; Lepidosauria; Squamata; Elapidae
Description: tRNA-Cys
Source: RNAcentral
AACCCCGAGGUGUUUGACAUGUCAGACUGCAAAUCUGAAGUCGGCCUUUGCCCGGGGUUU